CCUCCCACCCGGUCUCAGGCUGCCUUCCACACAGCUCCAGCUGUCAGGCUGCCCUGCACCCGCUCUGCACAGCCUUCCCACAUGCUCGCUGCCAACCUGGACCAGAACUGCGUCUAGGAGGACGCCGCACCCCGGUAUCUGACCCCCACAGACAGCCUAACACAUUUUACAUCUUGUGAAGGCAGAACAAACAAAAGAUGGGUAGGAAUUCUACAAGCAAAAUGUUCUCACCCACAAAGACCAGGUUGUUGUAAUUCUCCAACAUCACAUCAAUGUACAAAGCCUUCUGAGCAGAGUCCAGGCAUUCCCACUCCUCUUGGGGGAAGUCCACAGUCACAUCCCUGAAUGUCAACAGACCCUGAAACAAAAGCAUAUGGUUUCAGCAUGUUCUACCUGAAGUUCCUAACUCCAAAUCUUCAGAUGUGAGUCCACAACCUGGAGUGACUGCAGUGACCAGAAAAGUGUCCCCGCCCCAUCGGAGACCCGUCCCUCUUACCCUGUCUCAGGCGCCUUCCACACAGCUCCAGCUGUCAGGCUGCCCUGGACCCGCUCUGCACAGUCUUCCCACAUGCUCGCUCCCAGCCUGGACCAGACCUGCUUCUAGGAGGACGCUGCACCCCGAAAUCUGACCACCAGCCUGGAUUCUGAAACCUUCAGAUAAAAGACAGGUAGCCAAAUCUCGACUUGACUACCAGCCUCCCUGGCUACAACCUACACCAAACGAUAACAGGCUAAAUUCAGAUGCCAGCGUCCCAUCGUUAACACACACAUGACAAGCCAAAACCAAACACUGCAAUUGUAACUUGCAAAGAGACAUUUCAGGAACUUGGAUUUUGAAAAAGAAAUAGGUGUCUCAAGAAGUCAGUGGUCAAGCCCACUUCUAAGAUCCCAGGGCUGAGUUCACCCCGCGCUCUAUUGCUCUCACCACUAGAUGGUGGUCUUGUCGUUUUACUAUCGAACAAGUGUUUGUGUUGUGACUCGUGCUAAAGAUGCUUGUAGAUAAAAUAUGCAAAAAAAAAAAUUUAAUGUAGUGGUGAAUGCAGAGACCCUUGGCUGUCCCAAAUGCAGAAAAUGAGUAAGGUAUGUAGUCCCAGUCCUGAAAACAUCAGUUACACCUUCCCACCUAUGGCUCCUGGAACACCGAGGAAGAGGAGGAGGAAAGGGAAUAAGAAGGGAAAGAGGAGGAAGGGCUAAGACUUGCCAUUCUCUAGACUCCACACAGCUGUUGUAAUCAGUAACCAACAGCAGCUGUACUGACCUGCAUUGACCUCACACUAGACCACAAUCAGUCUAGGAAAGGGAAAGGCUCACAGGGCACACCCUUUACCUCUCAAAUGUUGGCAAUGGGUGGAUUGUGGGAGAAGAAUCACUGCCUUUGGUUGUAGUCCUCUGCUGAGCCCAUCAGGCUCCAACACAUAGCUCCAAAACCACAGUCUCAGUGUGGCCCUGGUCAAUCUCAGUCUGUCCCAAGCAAAGUGAAUGGAGAUAAACACAACAGAGAUUUGUUGGAAUUGUGGAGCAGGAUAGUAGAGAGGUAGGAAGUGAGAAUGGACAGUAUUUGAGGCACACACACACACACACACACACACACACACACACACACACACACUUAUCUACAUACACCGUGUCUUAAAUAUACAA
This is a non-coding RNA of Peromyscus maniculatus bairdii (prairie deer mouse), 1641 nucleotides long. The record is from RefSeq and is a predicted model, not a curated record. Lineage: Eukaryota; Metazoa; Chordata; Mammalia; Rodentia; Cricetidae.